GCCUUCUUAGCGCAGUGGGCAGCGCGUCAGUCUCAUAAUCUGAAGGUCCUGAGUUCGAGCCUCAAAGAAGGCA
This 73-nucleotide transfer RNA is filed under the name Trichechus manatus latirostris (Florida manatee). Its description in RNAcentral is "tRNA-Met (CAT) (tRNA-Met-CAT-6-1)". It matches the Rfam family "tRNA". From Rfam's summary of the family: Transfer RNA (tRNA) molecules are approximately 80 nucleotides in length. Lineage: Eukaryota; Metazoa; Chordata; Mammalia; Sirenia; Trichechidae. The record is from Rfam by way of RNAcentral.